GCAUUAAUGGGGUAGUGGUAACCUGGGUCGUUGCCAUUGAAAUCCAUCACGUGAUGGAUUACGUACGCGGGUUCGACCCGCCGGGGGUUCGAUUCCCUCUUAAUGCA
Non-coding RNA from Mycena latifolia, 107 nucleotides. Lineage: Eukaryota; Fungi; Basidiomycota; Agaricomycetes; Agaricales; Mycenaceae. The record is from the annotation of a GenBank genome assembly.